ACUCCUACGGGAGGCAGCAGUGGGGAAUAUUGGACAAUGGGCGCAAGCCUGAUCCAGCCAUGCCGCGUGGGUGAUGAAGGCCCUAGGGUUGUAAAGCCCUUUCGGUAGGGAAGAUAAUGACGGUACCUACAGAAGAAGCCCCGGCUAACUUCGUGCCAGCAGCCGCGGUAAU
RNAcentral lists this ribosomal RNA (172 nucleotides) under uncultured bacterium. RNAcentral describes it as "partial 16S ribosomal RNA". It matches the Rfam family "Bacterial small subunit ribosomal RNA", at positions 335 to 524 of the family's 1533-position model. The record is from RNAcentral.